RNAcentral lists this long non-coding RNA (2803 nucleotides) under Homo sapiens (human). RNAcentral describes it as "HSALNT0291654". Lineage: Eukaryota; Metazoa; Chordata; Mammalia; Primates; Hominidae. The record is from RNAcentral.
ACAAUGUCUGGCACAGAGUAAGUGCUUAAAAAAAAUGUUUAUUACCAGGGAAGCACAAAGAACAGAAUCAAUACAGGUCAAGAAUGAGUGACAGGGGGAAGGUGAGGUAGACAUGGUUUGGUUUUUCACUGAUGAAAAGAGUUACAUCUUGGAGGAUGAAGAUUUUCGUGGGGAAAAACUCUUCUGCCUGUUCCUGGCUUCCUCUUCCCUCUCUCCUCACUCCAAAGCAAGGUGAGAAAAUUCAGGCUUUCUUCUCCCUCUCUCUCCUCAGGCCUCUGAAUGACAUUUGACAGGUUCUUCAGAGCCUGUCCUGAGCACUGCUGCCCAGGAAAAGACUCUCCUUUAAGUCACAAUUCCAGGCCUUUUUUCUCCAGCUGCUGUCCAGAUGGAAGUUUGGGGCUCAGGCCCAACUGCCUGCACCCACAUCGGCACUCUAAGAAUUCCAGGAGAUGUGUUUGGAAGCUAACGAAGAUCCCCCUUCUCUGAGCGGGGCACUGAGAACCCUGUUUGCAUGUCUCUUUGAUCCUUCCCAGUAGGCUACAGAUGACUGGACCAGGGUGGGCACCUGCCUCACUCUGAGCCAAUCAGAUCCUCUCCUGGGAGUUUGGGAUUGGAUCUGCCAAGCCCCAAGUUCUCUCUCUCCAUGUGGCUGAAACCAAGGGACACAAUACAGGAACUAUAGGUGGCUUGGUGCCUGAAAAGGCAGAGAUAUCCAGUCUGUGGAUACAGAAAGGCAGGGUGCAGAGAAUGGCUGCUUCAAGUUCCCUUGGCCCUCCAGGUCCCGCCUUCCUGAAGCUAAUGGUUUUCCUUCCCCUUAGUUCCAGGGAAUCCCUUCUGUCCUUGUAAUAAGCCCUUCUUUAUUACUGAAGCUGGUUUGAGUGGGUUUCUGUAUAUAAGCAAAGACCUAAUUAAGACAAGAGAGAAGCUGGGAGCCGGAGGUACGCAGAUGAACAAUCCUGAAAAAAUAAUCACUGUGCCUACGUCGGAGAAGCCCAGUGCAGUGGGAGACAGCGAGUAAGAGAUGUAGACUUUGCACAGAUGUGGCAGAGGGAGGGUGGGCUAACUCUGCCUGGGGAGGAGCGGAAGGGCUCCACAGGCUUCACAGCGAAGGUAGCAGCUGAGCCGAUUUUGAAGAAUUAAGGACAUUCUCCAUGGAGACAAAGUAGGGGUGGGGAGGCAUUACAAGCAAAGGGAACAGCAAGUGCAGAUGCACAGAGACCCAAAACAGCCUGGUGUCUUAGAGGGACUGGAGUUCAAAGUGUGGCGGGGAAGCAGGGAAGACAGGCAGUCAGGCGCACAUCAUAAAGGGCUUUGAAUACCAUGAUAAGAAGCCGAGGCCUUUUCCUGUCAGUGACAGGGAGCUAUUGAAGUAUUUUAAGUAGCAGGGGGUGACGGGGUCAGUUCUGUGUUUUAGAAAGAUUGUUCUGGGGCUGCUUGGAGAAAGGGCUGGAAAAGGCAGGCCUGGAGGCAAGGACCAGUUAGGAGGCUGCAGCACUCCUCAUCUAGUCCCUUCAUUCAUCUAACAGCUCACUGUGUACCUACUAUGUGCCGGGGUGAGGCAAAACGGAUUCCUGAGCCCACAGAGUUCACAGCCUAGCAUGAAAUAGACAUGAGGGAAAAGCGAUUUGAGUGUGCUGAAUGUUAUGAAGAAGUACAAGGUCCUCUGGAGCAGGGUGCUGUUUACUGUCUGGUUUUUAGGCUUCCCUGCGGAAAUGACGUUCGAGCUGGUAUCUAUCUGAAGGAUAAGUAGGAGUUAGCAGGGCCCCAAGAGGGGGCGUGCAUUCCAGGAUUGGGGACAACACGUGUGGAAGUCCUGCAGCUGAGGGAGAGUGGCAGAAGAAGACACAAAAAGGUAGGCAAGGACCAGAUCCCACAGGGCCUCGGAGACUGCGUCAGUGCAUCUGGCUUUCAUUCCAAGAAGGCUUGGAAGGGUCCUAAGCAGGGAAAUGACACAAUCCAACGUUUAUCCUAAGAAGACCAUGAAAGAAAGCGGGGCAAGAACAAAUGUCAGGAGACCAGGUAGGAAGCUGUCACAGUGGCCCAGGACCUCACAGGCACCACGGCGCCCCCUGCCCUGCCCUGCCCUGAAGCAGUUCCAGGAACGUCAGAUGGUAAGAGAAGAAACGACUUACAAACGUCAAGUCCAUUUUACAGAUGGAAAAUCUGAAGCUCAGAUAGGAGAAAAGACUUGCCCAAGUGCCUGGUAUGAAGAGAAAGACUUUAUAAUGUCCCUUUCAGACAGAAGGAAGUAGAGUGGCCGGCCCUGAAGCCCAAGUUAACCUGCUUCCCCUGCGCUCUCUACUUCUAGAGCAAUGGUUUUAAACUUGGGGCGAUUUUGCCCCCCAGGGAACAUUCGACCAUGUCUGGAGACAUUUUUGGUUUUCCCAACGAGGAGGUUGCUACUGGCGUCUCAUGAGAAGAGACCAGGGAUGCUGCUACACGCCUUCAAUGCACAGGACAGCCCCUGCGCCAGAGAAUUGUCAGGCCCGAAAUGUCAGCAGGUUUCUGAGGUUGAGAAACUCUGUUCUAGGGCCUGGCAUCUGCCUAUAUAAACUUCCAAAUAGACUCCUGGAGUCCUGGGUUCUUCUGCAGCCCGGGAGGAUACUGUAUGAAGUCUUUCCUAGGGUCGUGCCUGCCCCAACUUGUAUAUUUAACCUUGCUUAGGACUGGUCAGUUCCACUCUUGGGCUCCAGUGUUUUGAAUUCCACCCACUGACAGAGAGGACAGAAUAAUUAAUAUUUGCUGGAGGCAUGUAAAACCAGUAGUCUCCCUGCUGAGGGCAUGAAUUAAAAUGUAAAUGGGA